GGUCGGUCGGUGUGGCGAGGCAGGCAGCCAGUGUAAGCGCGCGCGAGGUGGGGCCAAGCGCCGGAUGGCAGAGACCGAAAUUGGUGACCUAAGAGAAAAAAGAGAAGAGCGAAGUGAAGGGAGGAAUAGAAGAGAGCCAAAUAGGGCAAAACAGCAGUAAGUCACAAGUGCACAGACCUCAAGAAGAGAGAAAAUAACA
Molecule: long non-coding RNA, 199 nt
Filed under: Penaeus japonicus
Lineage: Eukaryota; Metazoa; Arthropoda; Malacostraca; Decapoda; Penaeidae
Description: uncharacterized LOC122258883
Source: RNAcentral